CACGUAGGGGGCGAGCGUUGCCCGGAUUUACUGGGCGUAAAGGGCGCGUAGGCGGUUGCGCAAGUCUGGUGUGAAAUCUCACGGCUUAACCGGGAGGCUGCACUGGAUACUGCGCGACUGGAGCAUAGGAGAGGGAAUCGGAAUUCCUGGUGUAGCGGUGAAAUGCGUUGAUAUCAGGAGGAACACCAGUGGCGAAGGCGGAUUCCUGGCCUAUUGCUGACGCUGAGGCGCGAAAGCUGGGGGAGCGAAAGGG
RNAcentral lists this ribosomal RNA (253 nucleotides) under uncultured bacterium. Its description in RNAcentral is "partial 16S ribosomal RNA". It matches the Rfam family "Bacterial small subunit ribosomal RNA", at positions 524 to 776 of the family's 1533-position model. The record is from RNAcentral.